CUCUUUAUGAUGAUUAACCAAUCACCAUCUUUCGUCUGACUUCCUGAUGGACACCAUGAGUUUACCUGAAAGAG
RNAcentral lists this small nucleolar RNA (74 nucleotides) under Labrus bergylta (ballan wrasse). Lineage: Eukaryota; Metazoa; Chordata; Actinopteri; Labriformes; Labridae. The record is from RNAcentral.